RNAcentral lists this unclassified non-coding RNA (90 nucleotides) under Pseudomonas migulae. The record is from RNAcentral. Lineage: Bacteria; Pseudomonadati; Pseudomonadota; Gammaproteobacteria; Pseudomonadales; Pseudomonadaceae.
UGUAGGAGCGGGCUUGCUCGCGAUAGCGGUGUGUCAGUCGACACUUUCAUCGACUGAUACUCCGCUAUCGCGAGCAAGCCCGCUCCCACA